This 191-nucleotide small nuclear RNA is filed under the name Castor canadensis (American beaver). RNAcentral's name for it is "U2 spliceosomal RNA (ENSCCNG00000010897.1)". It matches the Rfam family "U2 spliceosomal RNA". From Rfam's summary of the family: U2 is a small nuclear RNA (snRNA) component of the spliceosome (involved in pre-mRNA splicing). Complementary binding between U2 snRNA (in an area lying towards the 5' end but 3' to hairpin I) and the branchpoint sequence (BPS) of the intron results the bulging out of an unpaired adenosine, on the BPS, which initiates a nucleophilic attack at the intronic 5' splice site, thus starting the first of two transesterification reactions that mediate splicing. The record is from Rfam by way of RNAcentral. Lineage: Eukaryota; Metazoa; Chordata; Mammalia; Rodentia; Castoridae.
AUCGCUUCUUGGCCUUUUGGCUAAGAUCAAGUGUGGUAUCUGUUCUUAUCAGUUUAAUAUCUGAUACGUCCUCUAUCUGAGGACAGUAUGUUAAAUGGAUUUUUAGAACGGGGAGAUGGAAUAGGAGCUUGCUCCGUCCACUCCAUGCAUCGACCUGGUAUUGCAGUAACUCCAGGAAUGGUACAUACACA